This is a long non-coding RNA of Mytilus californianus (California mussel), 772 nucleotides long. RefSeq lists it as uncharacterized. The record is from RefSeq and is a predicted model, not a curated record. NCBI's taxonomy places the organism in Eukaryota, Metazoa, Mollusca, Bivalvia, Mytilida, Mytilidae. The transcript is spliced from 3 exons.
CAUAAUGCACUUAACUGAUAUAUAACUUAAUGCUUUUAAUAUUUAUUUUGUUCAACGAGUAUAAGUUGUUAAUGUAUUACAUGUACCUAUUGAAAGAUGAUAACCCAGCUGAACGCUUUAGAAUUGUAUGUUGAUUUGAGUCAGUGCAUACUUAGCUGGUAUGCACAACGUUUGUCUUCAGAUUUCCUAUAGAUACAAUGUAUAACAACUGCAUCAAUAUUGCUGUGUGUAGCAGUUCAUAAAAAUGUUAAUUUCCACAAAAUCGUUACUCUUUUGGACUGUUUUUUUUUUUUAGAUUUUAAAUUAUAAAUGAAUACAGAUAAGUAUAGAUAUAUGCAUAUAAAUUAAAUUUGUUUUCGUUUUCUGUUUAAUAAUCAAGUUCUCAUUUCCUUUACAUUAGAAAUCUGUUAAUAAUGCUAAAAAAAUAAAAAGACAAUCAUGCUUCUUUAACUUUGCAUUUAUUUUGUUAGAGAAAACGAGUGUAGAAUUAAGAAUGUCUUUUAUAGAAUGCGAUGACCGUUACUCAAUAUCAAAGUGUUUAUGACGAUUUUUGUUGGAUCAAUGAGUCCCCCUUUGAAUCUAAAGUGUACAAGAUAACAAAUCAGAAACGAUGCUAGUGGUUGUUACUUGAUAGGUUUCCAAAGAAGACUGCUAGCGCCAUAAUGCUUUAUGAACUAAAAAGUAGUGAAAUGAAGGGAACAUACCAGUAUGGCGGUAGUCAUCAUUUAAUUGUAACCUCAUUUAAGACUCAUUUUGUAUCAAUUAUUUAAAC